This 203-nucleotide ribosomal RNA is filed under the name Vaejovis vorhiesi group sp. RWB-2013. RNAcentral's name for it is "partial 28S ribosomal RNA". The record is from RNAcentral. Lineage: Eukaryota; Metazoa; Arthropoda; Arachnida; Scorpiones; Vaejovidae.
AUGAAACACCCUGGUGCCCACGUGGACGUGUCGGUGGCGAGAGCCUCCGUCGUCCGAAGUGUCGAAAGGCAAGCCUCUCUCACUGGGUGACCGGAGAGAUGUCCGCUCAGGCGUGCGGCCGCGGACGUCGCCGGCAGGAGCGGUGGGAGAGCUGUCUUGCUUAACUCUGUCGACCUCAGAUCAGACGAGAAUACCCGCUGAAU